UGGGGAAUAUUGCGCAAUGGGGGAACCCUGACGCAGCAACGCCGCGUGAAGGAUGAAGGCUUUCGGGUUGUAAACUUCUUUGAUGAGGGACGAAAGAAAUGACGGUACCUCAAAAACAAGCCACGGCUAACUACGUGCCAGCAGCCGCGGUAAUACGUAGGUGGCGAGCGUUGUCCGGAAUUACUGGGUGUAAAGGGCGUGUAGGCGGGGAUGCAAGUCAGAUGUGAAAUGCCGGGGCUUAACUCCGGAGCUGCAUCUGAAACUGUGUUUCUUGAGUGCCGGAGAGGAAAGCGGAAUUCCCAGUGUAGCGGUGAAAUGCGUAGAUAUUGGGAGGAACACCAGUGGCGAAGGCGGCUUUCUGGACGAUAACUGACGCUGAGGCGCGAAAGCGUGGGGAGCAAACAGGAUUAGAUACCCUGGUAGUCCACGCUGUAAACGAUGGAUACUAGGUGUAGGAGGUAUCGACCCCUUCUGUGCCGGAGUUAACACAAUAAGUAUCCCACCUGGGGGAGUACGGCCGCAAGGUUGAAACUCAAAUGAAUUGACGGGGGUCAUAGCUGUUUCCU
Molecule: ribosomal RNA, 566 nt
Filed under: uncultured bacterium
Lineage: Bacteria
Description: partial 16S ribosomal RNA
Rfam family: Bacterial small subunit ribosomal RNA
Source: RNAcentral